GGGAAAACAAAAAAAGAAAGAAAAAGGCAGGCAGAGCAGUGGCAUGGAGAAAGCACAGGCCUUGGGUGCAGACAGAAUCCCGAUUCCACCACGUGUUACCUGUGUGACCUUGGGCAAUCCUUCGGAGCCUCAGUUUCCUUAACUACAAAUUGGGGUUACUGAUCUCCAACUUCCCCGAAUCUUCAGUAGAAUCAUUUCCAGGCCCAGAUCAAGCAAUUCCUUAUACAGGAAGUAAAACGUCUUCGUUCUGGGAAAUUCAGUUGCUGUUGUUGGUGCCUUCGCGUCGAUUCUGACUCCUAGGUGCCCUGUGUCCAGCAGAGUGGAACGCUGCCUGGUCUUUUUGCGCCACCCUCUCACCUUCCGGUGCUACAUCAGACAAUGCUCUGCUGCUAUUCAUGGGGAAAUUUAGAGGAUGCAGGUAAACACAAAGAAGGGAAUAUAAGCUUUGUGCAAAGCAUCUAGCACAUGCCUGGCAUACAGUAGGUGUUUUGACAACACCAUCUUGGCUCUCAGACUUCCCUAUGUCAGUAUCGUCCUGGAAGAAAGUAACUUUAGCCAGGGGUGACUCCAGCCUCAGCCCAAGAAAACCCUAACAAGAGAAAGGGAAUCCUGGGAAGGGAGCAGGAGGUGGAUUCCUCAGGUCAAGAUCAAGAGCUAGUGAACUGAAGUUAGACCUGCCACAAGCUUGCAGGGAGAUCCUGGGAAAACCACUUAACUUCCUGGAGCCACAGCGUCUCACCCGUAAGACAGAGGUUGUCAAGGCCGACCUGCCAGUAUCCUUGGGAGGACCACGUGAUAUGUGGGCAUGGGAAUGCCCACUGUGGUGCCAGCCAUUGGGAGGUGCUCAGGAAAUGGGAGUUAGCUUGGAUCUGAGGCUGGGAACUCCCUUUCUGAGCUCCUAUAAGACGUAAGGUCACUCACAAUUGUCUCCUGUCACUAAGGGGCUGUGUAAGGCCUGGCUUGGAGCCCAGCUUUGUCACAAAGGUACUAUGCGAAUUGGGUAAGCCUCUUCCUCUCCAGGGCUUGGAUUCCUCCAUUUGUGAAAUGGCCAGAUUAGGGGUCCAAAUCUGAAUACCCCACUGGAGCAGACAACGCACGCCUUAUUUCUUGCACAUGGAAGAUUCGCCACCACCCGUACCUGAUUCAUCUCUGCCUCAGGCCACGAGUUUUCAAUCUUUGGUUAAGACAGUCUCAGAGGCCCUUCCAUAGCUGACAUUCAACUACUUUCUAAUUCUGGCUCUGCAAGCUAUGUCAAGCUGUGUGACUCUGGGCGGCCCAGUGUUUCGUUGGUUUGAAUCCUGGGCACGGACAUGGCACUGCUCAUCAAACCACGCUGAGGCAGCGUCCCACACGCCACAACUAGAAGGACCCAUAACGAAGAAUAAAUAACUAUGUACUGGGGGGCUUUGGGGAGAAAAAGGAAAAAAAUAAAAUAACGGCUGCCAACUCUGGUCCAGGCUCUGGUUUAG
Molecule: long non-coding RNA, 1469 nt
Filed under: Equus caballus (horse)
Lineage: Eukaryota; Metazoa; Chordata; Mammalia; Perissodactyla; Equidae
Description: lncRNA (ENSECAG00000056327.1)
Source: RNAcentral